This 492-nucleotide ribosomal RNA is filed under the name uncultured bacterium. RNAcentral describes it as "partial 16S ribosomal RNA". It matches the Rfam family "Bacterial small subunit ribosomal RNA", at positions 29 to 507 of the family's 1533-position model. The record is from RNAcentral.
AGUGAACGCUGGCGGUAGGCCUAACACAUGCAAGUCGAACGGCAGCACAGUAAGAGCUUGCUCUUACGGGUGGCGAGUGGCGGACGGGUGAGGAAUACAUCGGAAUCUACUUUUUCGUGGGGGAUAACGUAGGGAAACUUACGCUAAUACCGCAUACGACCUACGGGUGAAAGCAGGGGAUCUUCGGACCUUGCGCGAUUGAAUGAGCCGAUGUCGGAUUAGCUAGUUGGCGGGGUAAAGGCCCACCAAGGCGACGAUCCGUAGCUGGUCUGAGAGGAUGAUCAGCCGCACUGGAACUGAGACACGGUCCAGACUCCUACGGGAGGCAGCAGUGGGGAAUAUUGGACAAUGGGCGCAAGCCUGAUCCAGCCAUACCGCGUGGGUGAAGAAGGCCUUCGGGUUGUAAAGCCCUUUUGUUGGGUAAAAAAAGCAGCAGGUUAAUACCCCGCUGUUCUGACGGUACCCAAAGAAUAAGCACCGGCUAACUUCGUG